AUUGAACGCUGGCGGCAGGCCUAACACAUGCAAGUCGAGCGGUAGAGAGGUGCUUGCAUCUCUUGAGAGCGGCGGACGGGUGAGUAAUGCCUAGGAAUCUGCCUAGUGGUGGGGGGAUAACGUUCGGAAACGGACGCUAAUACCGCAUACGUCCUACGGGAGAAAGCGGGGGAUCUUCGGACCUCGCGCCAUUAGAUGAGCCUAGGUCGGAUUAGCUAGUUGGUGAGGUAAUGGCUCACCAAGGCGACGANCGUAACUGGUCUGAGAGGAUGAUCAGUCACACUGGAACUGA
Molecule: ribosomal RNA, 292 nt
Filed under: uncultured bacterium
Lineage: Bacteria
Description: partial 16S ribosomal RNA
Rfam family: Bacterial small subunit ribosomal RNA
Source: RNAcentral